This 500-nucleotide ribosomal RNA is filed under the name uncultured bacterium. RNAcentral's name for it is "partial 16S ribosomal RNA". It matches the Rfam family "Bacterial small subunit ribosomal RNA", at positions 30 to 523 of the family's 1533-position model. The record is from RNAcentral.
AUUGAACGCUGGCGGCAUGCUUUACACAUGCAAGUCGAACGGUAACAGGGUGCUUGCACCGCUGACGAGUGGCGAACGGGUGAGUAAUGCGUCGGAACGUGCCGAGUAGUGGGGGAUAACGCAGCGAAAGUUGUGCUAAUACCGCAUACGUACUGAGGUAGAAAGUGGGGGACCUUCGGGCCUCACGCUAUUCGAGCGGCCGACGUCUGAUUAGCUAGUAGGUGAGGUAAAGGCUCACCUAGGCGACGAUCAGUAGCGGGUCUGAGAGGAUGAUCUGCCACACUGGGACUGAGAUACGGCCCAGACUCCUACGGGAGGCAGCAGUGGGGAAUUUUGGACAAUGGGCGAAAGCCUGAUCCAGCUAUGCCGCGUGUCUGAAGAAGGCCUUCGGGUUGUAAAGGACUUUUGUCAGGGAGGAAAUCCCUAGUGCUAAUAACACUGGGGGAUGACAGUACCUGAAGAAUAAGCACCGGCUAACUACGUGCCAGCCGCCGCCGUAA